GAUGAACGCUGGCGGCGUGCCUAAUACAUGCAAGUCGAACGCUGGAAAUCUAGCUUGCUAGAUUGAAGGAGUGGCGAACGGGUGAGUAAUACAUAAGCAACCUACCCACGAAGACUGGGAUAAUCUCUGGAAGCGGGGACUAAUACCGGAUAGGUAAUCGGAAGGCAUCUUCUGAUUAUUAAAGGUUAAAAACACUGGUGGAUGGGCUUAUGGCGCAUUAGUUAGUUGGUGAGGUAACGGCCCACCAAGACGAUGAUGCGUAGCCGGCCUGAGAGGGUGAACGGCCACAUUGGGACUGAGACACGGCCCAGACUCCUACGGGAGGCAGCAGUAGGGAAUUUUCGGCAAUGGGGGAAACCCUGACCGAGCAACGCCGCGUGAGUGAUGACGGCCUUCGGGUUGUAAAGCUCUGUUGUAAGGGAAGAACGGUAGAUAGAGAAUAUCUAAAUGACGGUACCUUACCAGAAAGCCACGGCUAACUACGUG
Molecule: ribosomal RNA, 486 nt
Filed under: uncultured bacterium
Lineage: Bacteria
Description: partial 16S ribosomal RNA
Rfam family: Bacterial small subunit ribosomal RNA
Source: RNAcentral